CAAGAGAUAGUUUAAUUAGAACUUCAGCUUUGGGUGCUGAUGGUAGGGCUUGAGUCUUUCUCUUGA
This 66-nucleotide transfer RNA is filed under the name Plecotus macrobullaris. Its description in RNAcentral is "tRNA-Pro". It matches the Rfam family "tRNA". From Rfam's summary of the family: Transfer RNA (tRNA) molecules are approximately 80 nucleotides in length. The record is from RNAcentral. Lineage: Eukaryota; Metazoa; Chordata; Mammalia; Chiroptera; Vespertilionidae.